GGGCGCGUAGCUCAGCUGGCAGAGCAGCGGACUCUUAAUCCGCCGGUCGAAGGUUCGAACCCUUCCGCGCUCACCA
This 76-nucleotide transfer RNA is filed under the name bacterium. Its description in RNAcentral is "tRNA-Lys". It matches the Rfam family "tRNA". From Rfam's summary of the family: Transfer RNA (tRNA) molecules are approximately 80 nucleotides in length. Their secondary structure includes four short double-helical elements and three loops (D, anti-codon, and T loops). RNAcentral also lists the same sequence under 4 other names. The record is from RNAcentral.